RNAcentral lists this ribosomal RNA (400 nucleotides) under uncultured bacterium. Its description in RNAcentral is "bacterial SSU rRNA". It matches the Rfam family "Bacterial small subunit ribosomal RNA", at positions 59 to 447 of the family's 1533-position model. The record is from RNAcentral.
ACAUCAGUGACGGAGAAUUAAGAUGACCUUCGGGGUACUCUUAAUUUCUUAACGGCGGACGGGUAGUAACGCGUGNAAACCUGCCCUAACAGAGGAUAGCCUCGGGAAACCGGGAUUAAUACUCCAUAACACUUAAUCUUUCGCAUGAAAGAUUAGUCAAAACUCCGGUGGUAUAGGAUGGUCCCGCGUCCCAUUAGCUAGUUGGUGAGGUAACUGCUCACCAAGGCAACGAUGGGUAGCCGGCCUGAGAGGGUGAUCGGCCACACUGGAACUGAGACACGGUCCAGACUCCUACGGGAGGCAGCAGUGGGGAAUAUUGCACAAUGGGCGGAAGCCUGAUGCAGCAACGCCGCGUGAGGGAUGACGGCCUUCGGGUUGUAAACCUCUUUCAGUAGGGAAG